UGGGGAUUAGCUCAGCUGGGAGAGCGCCUGCUUUGCAAGCAGGAGGUCAUCGGUUCGAUCCCGUUAUCCUCCA
RNAcentral lists this transfer RNA (73 nucleotides) under Lacticaseibacillus paracasei. RNAcentral's name for it is "Lactobacillus paracasei tRNA-Ala". It matches the Rfam family "tRNA". Rfam says of the family: Transfer RNA (tRNA) molecules are approximately 80 nucleotides in length. Lineage: Bacteria; Bacillati; Bacillota; Bacilli; Lactobacillales; Lactobacillaceae. RNAcentral also lists the same sequence under 2 other names. The record is from RNAcentral.